RNAcentral lists this ribosomal RNA (270 nucleotides) under uncultured bacterium. Its description in RNAcentral is "partial 16S ribosomal RNA". It matches the Rfam family "Bacterial small subunit ribosomal RNA", at positions 793 to 1055 of the family's 1533-position model. The record is from RNAcentral.
GUCCACGCUGUAAACGAUGAUCACUAGAUAUGGGCAUUGCUUGGCAAAGUCCGUGUCGAAGCUAACGCGUUAAGUGAUCCGCCUGGGGAGUACGGUCGCAAGAUUAAAACUCAAAGAAAUUGACGGGGGUCCGCACAAGCGGUGGAACAUGUGGUUUAAUUCGACACUACGCGAGGAACCUUACCUAGGCUUGACAUGUAACUGCUACUGGUAGAAACACUGGGUUCCGUAGAAAUACGGACGGUUACACAGGUGCUGCAUGGCUGUCGU